RNAcentral lists this ribosomal RNA (270 nucleotides) under uncultured bacterium. Its description in RNAcentral is "partial 16S ribosomal RNA". It matches the Rfam family "Bacterial small subunit ribosomal RNA", at positions 88 to 354 of the family's 1533-position model. The record is from RNAcentral.
CCGGCGACCGGCGCACGGGUGAGUAACGCGUAUGCAACCUGCCCGUUUCAGCGGGAUAACCCGGAGAAAUCCGGCCUAAUACCGCAUGUGGCCGAGGGGAGGCAUCUUCUUUCGGCCAAAGGAGGCGACUCCGGAGACGGAUGGGCAUGCGUGACAUUAGCUAGUUGGCGGGGUAACGGCCCACCAAGGCGACGAUGUCUAGGGGUUCUGAGAGGAAGGUCCCCCACAUUGGAACUGAGACACGGUCCAAACUCCUACGGGAGGCAGCAG